Molecule: ribosomal RNA, 872 nt
Filed under: uncultured Gammaproteobacteria bacterium
Lineage: Bacteria; Pseudomonadati; Pseudomonadota; Gammaproteobacteria
Description: bacterial SSU rRNA
Rfam family: Bacterial small subunit ribosomal RNA
Source: RNAcentral
AUUGAACGCUGGCGGUAUGCUUAACACAUGCAAGUCGAACGGUAGCAGGCCUUCGGGCGCUGACGAGUGGCGGACGGGUGAGUAACGCGUAGGAAUCUGCCUUAUAGUGGGGGACAACUUGGGGAAACUCAAGCUAAUACCGCAUACGCCCUACGGGGGAAAGCGGGGGACCUUCGGGCCUCGCGCUAUGAGAUGAGCCUGCGUUAGAUUAGCUAGUUGGUGGGGUAAAGGCCUACCAAGGCGACGAUCUAUAGCUGGUCUGAGAGGACGAUCAGCCACACUGGGACUGAGACACGGCCCAGACUCCUACGGGAGGCAGCAGUGGGGAAUAUUGGACAAUGGGCGCAAGCCUGAUCCAGCAAUACCGCGUGUGUGAAGAAGGCCUUCGGGUUGUAAAGCACUUUCAAUUGGGAGGAAAACCUACCGGCCAAUACCCGGUAGCUUGACAUUACCUUUAGAAGAAGCACCGGCUAACUCCGUGCCAGCAGCCGCGGUAAUACGGAGGGUGCAAGCGUUAAUCGGAAUUACUGGGCGUAAAGCGUGCGUAGGCGGUUCGUUAAGUCAGAUGUGAAAGCCCCGGGCUCAACCUGGGAACUGCAUUUGAAACUGGCGGACUUGAGUUGAGUAGAGGGGAGUGGAAUUUCAGGUGUAGCGGCGAAAUGCGUAGAUAUCUGAAGGAACACCAGUGGCGAAGGCGACUCCCUGGACUCAAACUGACGCUGAGGUACGAAAGCGUGGGUAGCAAACAGGAUUAGAUACCCUGGUAGUCCACGCUGUAAACGAUGUCAACUAGCCGUUGGUCCUCUUAACAGGAUUAGUGGCGCAGCUAACGCAUUAAGUUGACCGCCUGGGGAGUACGGCCGCAAGGUUAA